This is a long non-coding RNA of Peromyscus maniculatus bairdii (prairie deer mouse), 770 nucleotides long. RefSeq lists it as uncharacterized. The record is from RefSeq and is a predicted model, not a curated record. NCBI's taxonomy places the organism in Eukaryota, Metazoa, Chordata, Mammalia, Rodentia, Cricetidae.
AGGGACAUAUGAUCUAUGAAGUUCUGUGCCAUUUGCUGUGGAAAUUAAGGGCUGCAGUCCCAGGAUAAUUAAUACUCAGAAUCAAUUACCAGGAAUUUCAGGCUCUCAUCACUUUACUACUUUGGGAUGAUAGUUUGCAUUUGGACAUUAAGGAGGCUACAUAUCUUUGUUUCUGUGGAGGUAGGGGAAGAACAUGUUUUCUUGAACAACUGCCCAAGUACUCUGCUCCUCCAUUUGUUUUCGAUGAGGAAAUUGGAUUGUUUUCAACUGAAAGCUAUCUACCAAUUCAUCCAUCUAGAACAGAAUCUGAAGAAGAAGAAAAGUAAUAACCCUGUGGAUGCCCAAGUUCAUAGAAUGAGCUUGUGAAUAUAACCUAGCUCAUAGUGUGAGUGAUGAUGGACCAAGAUAACAAGACCAGGGACUCCUGCCCAGCCCCUGGUAAAGCAGCAAUCUCCACGAAGUUCUAAAGUACACUGAACUUCUUUGUGAAGAGCUGAAUUUGAAACUGUAAGUAUUUAAAAGUCUAACUUUUUUGAGUUUCUAAAGAAAAUGGUAAGAAUUCCUUCUUAAAAGACACAGAUCCAGUGUUACAGCUCUUUUAGAAUUUGUCUAGCAGGUUUUCUGACUUCCGUCGGAAAACCCCUAAAAAAAGAAAAAAAAAGACACAGAUCCUAUAUUUUUUUUUUCUGUAAUGAAGCCAGGUAAAGAUGUAGGAUUUUCAGCCUAUGUUGUUUAAUCCUUAAUAGUCAACCUUGCAAUUUACCAAUAAA